Molecule: long non-coding RNA, 617 nt
Organism: Canis lupus familiaris (dog)
Lineage: Eukaryota; Metazoa; Chordata; Mammalia; Carnivora; Canidae
Exons: 3
Source: RefSeq, a predicted model, not a curated record
GCCGCGUCUGUAACCGCCGGAGCCCCGCCCCGACGGCCCCUCGGGCGGGGCGGGAGAGCGACGCACCGCCCCUCACCCAUCACGUGAACGCCGAGGAGGACGCCCUGGGCUGUGGCCAGCUCGGGUUCCGGUCCCCGGGGCUUCCUGAACACCAGCAGCUUCAACAUCCAGCAAAGAGAGAGAUUUCCGAGGCACAGUCCAUCCUGGGAACUGUGGCCCAAUGCUUGACCCUGCAGGCAUCACCAUUACCAACCAGCAGCUUAUCCCCAGAACAUGGAUGCAAUGUAAAAACCUUUCUGCUGUACAAGGCCUAUGUAGAAAAGGGAAAACAUGGAAACUGGCACCGAAGAAUCAGCUGCCAGGGGAAGAAAGCGAAUGUUCGCUCUCUGGGUCCAGCACAGAACAAAGUGCUGCAGGAGAGAAGCCAACACAUUCUCCUUAAAACUUGAGGCUGGAACCCAACCCAUCAUCCUGGACUGUAACUAGCAUACUAAGGCCAUCAGAAUAGUGACACCAGAGGAGAGAGGAUCAUAAGAACUGACCGUGGAAAUGGACUACCAGCCCAGGACAAUCUCUCUCCAGACUUUUUUUAUGUAAGAAAAAAAAUAAACUCUUUU